UACGUAGGGUCCGAGCGUUGUCCGGAAUUAUUGGGCGUAAAGGGCGCGUAGGCGGCCUGGCAAGUGGAAGGUGAAAUCCCUCGGCUUAACCGAGGAACUGCCUCCCAAACUGCUUGGCUCGAGACCGGGAGAGGUGAGUGGAAUUCCCAGUGUAGCGGUGAAAUGCGUAGAUAUUGGGAGGAACACCAGUGGCGAAGGCGGCUCACUGGACCGGUACUGACGCUGAUGCGCGAAGGUCAGGGGAGCAAACGGG
This 253-nucleotide ribosomal RNA is filed under the name uncultured bacterium. RNAcentral's name for it is "partial 16S ribosomal RNA". It matches the Rfam family "Bacterial small subunit ribosomal RNA", at positions 524 to 776 of the family's 1533-position model. The record is from RNAcentral.